GACGAACGCUGGCGGCGUGCUUAACACAUGCAAGUCGAACGGGUCUGCCCUGUUUUUUGCGGGGUGGGUCAGUGGCGAACGGGUGAGUAACACGUGAGUAACCUGCCCCUCACUUCUGGAUAACCGCUUGAAAGGGUGGCUAAUACGGGGUGUUCUGGCUGUGCCGCAUGGUGUGGCUGGGAAAGAUUCACUUUUGUGGUGUUUUGGUGGGGGAUGGGCUCGCGGCCUAUCAGCUUGUUGGUGGGGUGAUGGCCUGCCAAGGCUUUGACGGGUCGCCGGCCUGGGGGGGUGGGCGGUCACACGGGGACUGAGAUACGGCCCAGACUCCGGCGGGAGGCAGCAGUGGGGGGUAUUGCACAAUGGGCGGAAGCCUGAUGCAGCGACGUCGCGUGAGGGAUGGAGGCCUUCGGGUUGUGAACCUCUUUCGCCGGUGAAGAAGGUCCUGCUCUUUGUGGUGGGGUUGACGGUAGCCGGGUUAUGAAGCGCCGGCUAACUACGUG
RNAcentral lists this ribosomal RNA (500 nucleotides) under uncultured bacterium. RNAcentral describes it as "partial 16S ribosomal RNA". It matches the Rfam family "Bacterial small subunit ribosomal RNA", at positions 28 to 507 of the family's 1533-position model. The record is from RNAcentral.